This 1348-nucleotide ribosomal RNA is filed under the name metagenome. RNAcentral describes it as "bacterial LSU rRNA". It matches the Rfam family "Bacterial large subunit ribosomal RNA", at positions 1564 to 2925 of the family's 2925-position model. The record is from RNAcentral.
UGAGUACGAGCUGCUACGGCAGCGAAGUGGGUGAUGUCAAGCUUCCAAGAAAAGCCCUAUACCCGUUAAGGCAUGACGGCCUGUACCCGAAACCGACACAGGUGGGGUGGUAGAGAAUACCGAGGGGCGCGAGAUAACUCUCUCUAAGGAACUCGGCAAAAUGGCCCCGUAACUUCGGGAGAAGGGGUGCCACCGCAAGGUGGUCGCAGUGAAGAGGCCCAGGCGACUGUUUACCAAAAACACAGGUCUCCGCUAAGUCGCAAGACGAUGUAUGGGGGCUGACGCCUGCCCAGUGCCGGAAGGUUAAGGAAGCUGGUCAGCGCAAGCGAAGCUAGCGACUGAAGCCCCGGUGAACGGCGGCCGUAACUAUAACGGUCCUAAGGUAGCGAAAUUCCUUGUCGGGUAAGUUCCGACCCGCACGAAAGGCGUAACGAUCUGGGCGCUGUCUCGGAGAGAGGCUCGGCGAAAUAGAAUUGUCUGUGAAGAUGCGGACUACGUGCACCCGGACAGAAAGACCCUAUGAAGCUUUACUGUAGCUUGGUAUUGUGCCCGGGCUCUGAAUGCGCAGGAUAGGUGGGAGGCUUUGAUCCAUUGCUUGUGGGUGAUGGUGAGCCAACGGUGAGAUACCACUCUUUCAGAGCUAGGGUUCUAACCCUCACCCGUUAUCCGGGGAGGGGACAGUAUCAGGUGGGCAGUUUGACUGGGGCGGUCGCCUCCUAAAAGGUAACGGAGGCGCGCAAAGGUUUGCUCAGGCUGGUUGGAAAUCAGCCGACGAGUGUAAAAGCAGAAGCAAGCUUGACUGUGAGACCAACAAGUCGAACAGGGACGAAAGUCAGCUUUAGUGAUCCGACGGUUCUGAGUGGAAGGGCCGUCGCUCAACGGAUAAAAGUUACUCUAGGAUAACAGGCUGAUCUCCCCCAAGAGUUCACAUCGACGGGGAGGUUUGGCACCUCGAUGUCGGCUCAUCGCAACCUGGGGCUGAAGUCGGUCCCAAGGGUUGGGCUGUUCGCCCAUUAAAGCGGUACGCGAGCUGGGUUCAGAACGUCGUGAGACAGUUCGGUCCAUAUCCGGUGCAUGCGUAAGAACAUUGAGAGGAGUUCUCCCUAGUACGAGAGGACCGGGAGGAACGCACCUCUGGUGUACCAGUUAUCGUGCCAACGGUAAACGCUGGGUAGCCAUGUGCGGAGAGGAUAACCGCUGAAAGCAUCUAAGUGGGAAGCCCACCUCAAGAUGAGUGUUCUCAUGGCUUAAGCCAGUAAGGUCACGGGAAGAACACCCGUUGAUAGGCUCUACGUGGAAGCGCAGCAAUGCGUGAAGCGGAGGAGUACUAAUAGACCGAGGGCUUGAC